RNAcentral lists this ribosomal RNA (450 nucleotides) under uncultured bacterium. RNAcentral's name for it is "SSU rRNA". It matches the Rfam family "Bacterial small subunit ribosomal RNA", at positions 26 to 518 of the family's 1533-position model. The record is from RNAcentral.
AGAACGAACGCUGGCGGCAGGCUUAACACAUGCAAGUCGAACGCGUGUAGCAAUACACGAGUGGCGCACGGGUGAGUAACGCGUGGAUAUCUGCCUUUUGGUUCGGAAUAACCCCGGGAAACUGGGGCUAAUACCGGAUGGUUCCUACGGGAUAAAGAUUUAUCGCCAAAAGAUGAGUCCGCGUACGAUUAGCUAGUUGGUGAGGUAAUGGCUCACCAAGGCGACGAUCGUUAGCUGGUCUGAGAGGACGAUCAGCCACACUGGGACUGAGACACGGCCCAGACUCCUACGGGAGGCAGCAGUGGGGAAUAUUGGACAAUGGGGGCAACCCUGAUCCAGCCAUGCCGCGUGAGUGAUGAAGGCCUUCGGGUUGUAAAGCUCGUUUUGGCGGGGACGAUGAUGACGGUACCCGCAGAAUAAGCCCCGGCUAACUUCGCGCCAGCACGCCGC